Pyrus x bretschneideri (Chinese white pear) is the source of this 745-nucleotide long non-coding RNA. RefSeq lists it as uncharacterized. The record is from RefSeq and is a predicted model, not a curated record. NCBI's taxonomy places the organism in Eukaryota, Viridiplantae, Streptophyta, Magnoliopsida, Rosales, Rosaceae. The transcript has 2 exons.
UUGAAAAUUUUGAGUUUUAAUGAUAAAGAUAAAAUAAAAGGUAAAAUGAAUAGUAUCCUGUUUGACUUUUUAGUAUAAAAAUAUAAUUUUUCGUUAAAGUAAAUAGUAUCACGGCCAUUUCGUGAAUACUCUCGGUAAUAGUAUCGUCCCAGUUGUUUGGUGCCUUGUGUAGCCACCGGAUAAAAUAAUCCUGUCCCACCAUUUUCAGACACUCCACACCCGCUUAGUUAUCCUCUCCAAUAGGUUGGUAUAAUUAGUCGGGUUCACGCUCUCGUUGGCUCUUCUCCGACCCUCUCUGCUCCUGCGCAACGCGAACUCCACCAAGGUAUUGCUGCUUUGUCUCUCCCUCCUUCUCAACCGCCAGCAAAGGCUCCGGCGACGGAGGAGCCCAAGAAGGAAGAAAAGGCAGCCAGGCAAACGAAACCCAGAUUUAUGGUCACGUUCUUCAAUUUUUGCAUCUGGAGGAAGACUCGACGCUACAGCUAAAAAAGUCGGCGGCGAUAGGGAAGGUGAUCAAGAUUAGGCCUCGUACAAGCUCUCCGAAGCGAGCAAUAAGGAGAAAUCUGCUGCCAAAACAACUGCCGUUUCGAAACCCAAAUCGAAGAAGACCAAAACGACUUUCCAUGUUGAUUAUUCUAUCAAAUUUUUUUCCUUUUUUUCAUUUUAUUAAUAGUUUUUUUGUUUUUAAACUAAGAUGUAAAUUGAUUUUUUCAUAAAAAGUAAUAAUAAUACGAUUUAUCCUGUA